GGGAAACUGCCCGAUGGAGGGGGAUAACUACUGGAAACGGUAGCUAAUACCGCAUAACGUCGCAAGACCAAAGUGGGGGACCUUCGGGCCUCACACCAUCGGAUGUGCCCAGAUGGGAUUAGCUAGUAGGUGGGGUGAUGGCUCACCUAGGCGACGAUCCCUAGCUGGUCUGAGAGGAUGACCAGCCACACUGGAACUGAGACACGGUCCAGACUCCUACGGGAGGCAGCAGUGGGGAAUAUUGCACAAUGGGCGCAAGCCUGAUGCAGCCAUGCCGCGUGUAUGAAGAAGGCCUUCGGGUUGUAAAGUACUUUCAGCGGGGAGGAAGGCGGUGAAGUUAAUAACUUCACCGAUUGACGUUACCCGCAGAAGAAGCACCGGCUAACUCCGUGCCAGCAGCCGCGGUAAUACGGAGGGUGCAAGCGUUAAUCGGAAUUACUGGGCGUAAAGCGCACGCAGGCGGUCUGUCAAGUCGGAUGUGAAAUCCCCGGGCUUAACCUGGGAACUGCAUUCGAAACUGGCAGGCUGGAGUCUUGUAGAGGGGGGUAGAAUUCCAGGU
RNAcentral lists this ribosomal RNA (559 nucleotides) under uncultured bacterium. Its description in RNAcentral is "bacterial SSU rRNA". It matches the Rfam family "Bacterial small subunit ribosomal RNA", at positions 120 to 674 of the family's 1533-position model. The record is from RNAcentral.